GGGGGGCGAGGUGCACGGCGGCUGCACUGCGUGCGGCCAGAGAGAGAGCCGGGAGGAAUAAGCGAAGGAAGAGGUGGCGGGAUCCUGCGGGGCUGGAUUGGAGCCCCGGUGGUGCUACUGCUGCCGUUGGACGCCGGCCGAAGGGACAAGUCCCUAGGUAAGGAAACAACAUGUGUUGCAUCGGCACAUUUGAUGCAGAGUAGCUACUAGAAGGACGGGGUUCAAGUUGUUGGGCCGGUGGCAGGGGCAGCAUGAUGUUUUCGUCAGUUGUUUUCAGAUCUUCAAUAAGGAUCAUCAAGCCCUCUGUUUUUUAUAUGAAGAAUAGAUAUUGUAAUUGUGCCUCCAUUACGUCUAAAAGUCAGGUAUCGGAAAACUGUCAUUGGCAUAUCUCUGUCAUGAUGGAAGAUUGGUUAGACAGAAAAAGGACCUCUGGUUAUGUAUGACAUGAUGCGAGGCACAUGCAACAAGAAUUGACAUCCUCUAAUGCUAACUGUUGACCAUUCUUCUCUGAAGUAUCAGAGGUGUGGAUUGGAAUCAGUUUUUUUUGCUGCACCCCCAUUCCGACGAGGUCACGCACACAUACCACCGGGAAUCCCACGAACCCUAUGUUCGAGCGCGAGCGACGGCAAUAGCAUCUGCAAGUACUUGACCAACACGCUACCCGGGUGUGGUAUCCACUAUUGAGGCCAAGCAACCUAGCUCGGUCAUCCUUAAGUGUGCUUGUGUCCACCACCUGAUGAAGAACGGGAGAAGAUUGCUGACUUUGUGCCUAAUGAUGGUUGCCUGAACUUCGUAGAGCAAAUUGACGAGGUGUUGAUUGCUGAAUUUGGUCUUAAGAGGCACGUCGUGGGAGAUAUCCCUUGUGGCAGGUUCAAAGUUGUGAUGGUAUCUGGUGUCUCCCAGCGAGAUUUGUUCCUUCUCUUAACAGUUACUAUUAAGAACAAAUUUAUGUUUCCAGCAAAAAAGUUGGCCGGCCCCAGCAAAAAAAAAAGAACAGUUCCAGCAAAAAAAGAUCGUCGCCGUGGUCACAGGUGUCAACAAGCAGUCUUCGGAAUCAUCAAUAAGCCAACAGCGAGAAAUAAGUUUAAGAAUUGAGUUCCCUUAACAGGGAAAUAAGGAAGGGAAGAAACAAACAGGGAACAAUCAGAUGAAGCAUCAAGGAAAAUGGAUUGAACAAUCAGAUGAAGCAUCCAGCUCGAGGAGAAGCAUGGUCUGCAAGGAGACCAAUCAUCUUGAGGUGGUUCUUUCAGCUACUGCAUGUUCCAUUACGGAGAAGGGUACUUAGUCGAUCUUAGGAGCCAGACUCUGCUCUCCUUGCAGGGAGAAUUUCAACAAAUGGUACUAUUACUCUCCCAACAAUUCUUUUAUCACUACAAAAUGUGUAGGAACCUUAUUUUUCCCUGAGAUACUGUAAUUGAGGAACCGAGAGCCGCGACGGAACAUUGUAUUUUGCACUACAUCCUGUAUUUGCUUUGUGGGAAGCUGGCUUGAGGACAAAUAUGUCAGCUCCAUUUUCGCUGUGAGUGAUUCUUCAUAUGACGGUAGUGUUGCUUGUGUUCA
This is a long non-coding RNA of Triticum aestivum (bread wheat), 1560 nucleotides long. RefSeq lists it as uncharacterized. Lineage: Eukaryota; Viridiplantae; Streptophyta; Magnoliopsida; Poales; Poaceae. The record is from RefSeq and is a predicted model, not a curated record. The transcript is spliced from 6 exons.